AGAAUGCUCAUACCCUUCUGCACUACCUCCAAAUAGACGAGGCUCUACUGAAAAAAUCGGAAUAAUGUGAAAUAACAAGUUGCUGUUUGGACGCCAUAUCUCAAUUUGCUAUAUCUACAAAUUAACGAUACCAAAGUGCUAGUAGGGGCUAAAUGCAGAAAUUUAAGCCAUUCACCAUUACGGAUAGAACAUGAAAUUCUCAUUUAAGCUAUGCUACUUGAAUAUGUUCUCGUUAAGAAUUGUUUCACCCUAGUGCAAGAUCCGCGGUCAU
Arabidopsis thaliana (thale cress) is the source of this 271-nucleotide long non-coding RNA. RefSeq annotates it as other RNA. Lineage: Eukaryota; Viridiplantae; Streptophyta; Magnoliopsida; Brassicales; Brassicaceae. The transcript has a single exon. The record is from RefSeq.